RNAcentral lists this long non-coding RNA (290 nucleotides) under Prunus persica (peach). RNAcentral describes it as "long non-coding RNA (PPER_LNC002696)". Lineage: Eukaryota; Viridiplantae; Streptophyta; Magnoliopsida; Rosales; Rosaceae. The record is from RNAcentral.
GCGUCUAGUGUGCACACAUGGAAUAACUUUUUGGUGCUUAAGAAGGAUUUUAUUCGCAAGUCUUUGGAUAAGAUUAUAUCUUUCUUCUUCCUAAGGUGAUCGGCUUGUUUUUGGGUAUAAUUUUUUACUUGUUUCUUGACAAACGAUAAGAUUUGAUCCUACCUAAGACCUCAAUGGAAGUCUAAUAAUAAGGACUUUGAACUUGACCUAAUGAUGACGUUUAAAGAUGGUAAAAUAGAAGAUAUAAUGCAUAUAUAGAUUAGAUCAGUUAGUAAUGCGUUCGUCUUUUU